Amphimedon queenslandica is the source of this 195-nucleotide long non-coding RNA. RefSeq lists it as uncharacterized. The record is from RefSeq and is a predicted model, not a curated record. The transcript is spliced from 2 exons. NCBI's taxonomy places the organism in Eukaryota, Metazoa, Porifera, Demospongiae, Haplosclerida, Niphatidae.
UCUCGUCAAAAUGGCUGAUUUUCUAUUUGCUGCUCUGAUCAUUGCUCUAUUCUUCUCUCCUCCUGCAUCUAGUGCUAGUGAGGAUGACCCAGUUCCUCUUGUAAUAUGGUCUGGAAUGGGUGACAGCUGUUGCUAUGAGUAUGGUGCUUAUCAGUUUAAAGUUGUCCUGGAACGUCUUAUACCAGGCAUAUAUAU